GCCGGCGGCGGGCUAGGGUUGGCGCCGCCCGAGUCGCCCCUGCGGGAGUGACGCAGGGGCCGAGGGAACUCUUAAUACUCCACUCUUGCCCACUGAUUCGCUCCCCCAAAAUGUAGGCAUGCUCGUCCUUUUUCUAUUUGUUCCUAGUCCGCUAUACGUGAUGUGAGCUUAUGAAAUAAAUUGUUGAUGCAUGAACAUUUUGUGUAUGAUAUCAUCUGGACAUUGCUUUUUUGUCUCUUAUUAAAUAAUAAGAUUACUAUCUCUCUUGCUAAAAAAUUGUAUUCUAUACAAGUUUUAUACACAGAAUAUUUAUAAACCAUGAGUUAUUCCGCAAUAGCUCGCUUCGCUCAUUUCAGCAUGUUAUCUCUAAGCACCAGCAGACAUCAAGUUGGAUCCUCCUCUUGUCUCUAGAAACCUUUUUGAUCCUGUGAUACUUGUUGUUCUGUCCUAGGAUGGUCAUUCUUGUUGAGUGAUAAUCAGGGCAGCUCCAGUGUAUAAAUAUAUUGAUUUGGUGAUAAGAUAUAACGGGUGGGUUAUAUGAUCGAGGAAAGGCGAAUCUAAGCCCACUAUGGAAUGAACUCUGAACCCUUUUAUUUGUAUAUAAAGGCGUUGCUUAUUUAUGUUCCAGUGUUUACAGUUGUGUUAUGUGGUUUACAUGAGGAUGCCCUGGUCCUAUAGCUAUGCUCCCGGAUUUGCUAGAUUGAUCAGUGGUGUUCAUGCUAGGGCGAUGAUGAUUAACCGUGGCUGAAAUAUGUGUGCCUUUGAGCAAUCCAGGCACCUGUGAGUAUCAAGUUGGAUCCUCCCUCUUGUCUCUAGAAUCCUUUUUGAUUCUGUGAUAGUUGUUGUUCUGUCCUUGGAUGGUCAUUCUUGUUAAGUGAUAACCAGGACAUCUCUACUGUAUAAACAAAUUGAUCUAGUGAUAAGAGAUGACAAGGGUAGGUUAUAAAAUCGAGGAAAUGCGGAUCUAAGCCCACUAUGCAAUGAACCCUAGACCCUUUUUAUUUGUAUUUAAGGGUGUUGCUUAUUUAUGCUCCGGUGUUUAUAGCCAUCUUAUGUAAAUAUUUCUUCUCUCUCGUACCUUUAUUGCAUAUGAGUUGUCAAUGUUCAAGAAAUCGUUAACUGGUAGCUGCUCGGUUGGUUUAUUAGUAGCGAUUAAUUGGUGAAUUAGCCUAUUAACUGGAUUAAUCGGUCGACCAUUAAUCAGAAGAUUGAAUAUGAACUUGCCAACAUAUAUCUAGAUUUUUUUAUGUAUUAUACCAUACUCUCGUGCUCCCAGCUAUGUAGUAUACCAAACACAUGCUGCCAUACACAUAUGAAAAGCAUAGAGAGAAGGUAAAAUUAUUAUUCCUAGCUAUUAAGGAGCGGCAUGGGGCUGGAAGGGGUUACGGGCCAAAAAUUUGGGCUUUGUUUGCCCACCCAUUAAUGGGCCAUCAGGGAUUAAUCUGCAUGACAAUUGAUUAAUUGGUCUAACUUGCCAACUAAUCGGCCUGACAAGUUAACACAAUAAAUAUGUGUUAUUCGAUUCUGUCAUGCUACGAGUAGCGAUUAACUAGCCCAUUAACAGAUUAAUCGGGUGAAUUUUUGAACAGUGUGAGUUGUUCUUGAUCUUUUAUUUUUUUUGUUGGUCCUUGAUUUAAUUUGGGUAAGAGCGAGCUGCACUGUGUUAUACUAGUAAAACUCGCUUCCAUCAAGUUAUCGGUUGAAUGUCUUGUUUUAACUAGCUUAGCCCACGCGGCGACGCCGUGCUCGUCGAUAAGUCACGACAAUCUAGUAGCUAACAUAAUUUACAAUUUCUAACCCCCCUGUAUAACUGGUUGGAUUAGUUAUUAUCUGCUCUACCAUGACCAAAUAUUGUUUUUGAGCCAUCAUGGCUAGCUUUAUUAAGAUCAAAUAAUCGUUACAUCGUCCAUUAGUUUAGCUAUGAUGCAACCCGGGGGCUCCUCAGACUAGCUACUCGAAAUCUUAUUACAAAAGCAAUACUGAGCUAGCUCAUAAGCCGCUUGAUUAGCGGACUAGAAACAAUGUUUAACCUUCCCAAUCCAAAACAAUAAGGUGUGCAUCAAGAGCGCUUUCUCAUGAGAGCCACGUCCCUAUUUUUUACUGUGACGGAGAAAGAAAACGAAUGGGAGCAGAAAAUGCGUCCCGGGAUAACCCCCUCCGCCAGUUAAAAGUCCUUCCCUGCCUUCCCCACAAAGGCACCCUUCCGCUCGUCCUCCUCCUCGCCGCCGCUGACGCCACCACCACCUCUCCUUUCUAUUCUCCUGCCACCGCCACCUCAUCUUUCUUCCUCGCCUCUUUCCACACCCCUCAUCUGCCAUUCAUUCUCUGCAGCCGGGUCUCCUCCUCUCUCCCGCGCGCCGGCGGGGAUGGAGGGACAACGGCAGGGCGACCGGAUGGGACGACGGCGGCUUAGUACAUGUUGCAGUUGCCGCCGGCAUCAUAGGGGCUCGUUCUCGGGUAGUAAAUCGUGUAAUGUCAUGGCAUAAAUCACAGAGACGUUCCUCUGUUCUUCCUGCCCUUCGAGUCCGCACUAGAAGCAGGGGUCCUCAUCGAUCGAUCUUGUAAGCAUCUGCCUUGCAGAAUCAGAAUCUUGUUACAUAUAUAUUCGUGUUCUUUCCUGGAAUUUUUGUGGUGACUGAAUAAUAUAUGCAGUGAGGACGGAAUUAGUCUCGGUUCUGUCAGGCAUUAGUCAUGGUGUUGUUGGGGUUCGUCGUCAGCUUCUCUUUCCCGGCAUCGAUGACGCCCAAUGUAUGAUAAGAAACAUCAAAAGGUUUUCAUAUUGGUAUAUUUUCUUCAAAUUAACUUGGCAUCAUGAUAAUUAGAUUGGUCAUGUAUGUAUGCAGCUUCAGUGUGGCGUACAGCCUUGGAGUAGCAGCGGACAGCGGGGCUGCAAACGCCAGCUCCAAUGGCAUUGACAACAGCUUCCUGGGCAGUUUGUGGGCACCGUUAUUCAGGAACAACAGUAGCACCUUAAAUGCCACUUCAGGGAUGCCUUAGCUUCUCCUCACCAUCGUGACCACCCCUCCUCCUCGCACCAGAUUGAGCAGCAGGCUGGGCAGAGCAGAGCGGAGCGAACGGGCCGUGCCAGAAGCAGCAUAACACGGUUGCGGGCGGAGAGGGCGAGGCUGAGUCGCUGGACUACGGCCUCGUGGAGGAGGAAAUCCAGGGCUCGGGUUUCAUCUACAUGGUCGACUGCUCAGGUGCUGUGCCGCGGGUCAGUGCUUAGAUGCUCUUCAACGCCUUCGUCUUUAUUGUCUCCUACACCUUUGGCUACACGCUCGGCCAACAUGACGGCCCAUGCAGCAAGUUCGAGGCCGACCGCAGACAUUGACGGCAUCCUUCGACAUCUGAUUCGACCACUGCUCCCUCGUCGACUAUGACGACGGGCUCAUCGACAUCACAGUCUCCAGUUCUUGAUCACAAAACUUGUGAGGAAAGACCAUGGUAAAUGAAGAGACAACAUUACACUGGAUUUUAUCUUUGUGAGGUCUGUAGCAAUAUGGUCAUUGAUGCAACAAACAAGGGAACAAGUCCAGGUUUAUCAAUCAUAGUUGUGAACCAAACACAGAGAUGCAGAAAUGGUUAGUUCUAUUGUACUUCUUAUUUUAUAUCCAUGCUGAUGACCAUGAUAUUUGCUACUGGUCUCAUGUUAUUUCGGGACUGUAGAUGGAGAGACCAGAGUUGGAAUGUUUGCUCUUCUUGAUAUGGAGAGAGGGGAGAAGCUGACAGAUAAUCAAUUCAGAAACGCAGCAAAUGCUAGUUAACAUCCAAAAGAGGAAAAUAGAGGGGGAAAACAGGCCACAUCUUUAAAAAGGUGCACAACAAAACCAUUUAUCAUGCGCAGAAACUAAACACUACAUCAGCUAGAUUUCAAGUCUUGCAUGCACAAAAGUAAUUAACAAGCUAACCAUCUAUGUAAACUAGAAUGCCAUCAGCCACAAAAUUCAAAGGAGGUAAAUGCAGCUCCCUCCACAUUUUCACAUCCGGGCUUGGGACCGGCAAAGGCAGUGUUAAACCACACCAAUCAUCAUUCAAGCAUACAGGCCACACCAUCAAGCAAAUGCAACAUUCACACACACAGAGAGUCAAGCACACACAGAGUCACACAAACAGAGAGUCA
Molecule: non-coding RNA, 4120 nt
Organism: Triticum urartu
Lineage: Eukaryota; Viridiplantae; Streptophyta; Magnoliopsida; Poales; Poaceae
Source: RefSeq, a predicted model, not a curated record